RNAcentral lists this transfer RNA (73 nucleotides) under Sulfobacillus thermosulfidooxidans DSM 9293. RNAcentral's name for it is "Sulfobacillus thermosulfidooxidans (strain DSM 9293 / VKM B-1269 / AT-1) tRNA". It matches the Rfam family "tRNA". From Rfam's summary of the family: Transfer RNA (tRNA) molecules are approximately 80 nucleotides in length. Their secondary structure includes four short double-helical elements and three loops (D, anti-codon, and T loops). Lineage: Bacteria; Bacillati; Bacillota; Clostridia; Eubacteriales; Clostridiales Family XVII. Incertae Sedis. The record is from Rfam by way of RNAcentral.
GCUAACGUAGCUCAGUUGGUAGAGCAACGGUUUCGUAAACCGUAGGUCGUGGGUUCGAGUCCCACCGCUAGCU